This is a transfer RNA of Paxillus involutus ATCC 200175, 86 nucleotides long. It matches the Rfam family "tRNA". Rfam says of the family: Transfer RNA (tRNA) molecules are approximately 80 nucleotides in length. The record is from Rfam. Lineage: Eukaryota; Fungi; Basidiomycota; Agaricomycetes; Boletales; Paxillaceae.
GCCGGGGUAGCUCAGCUGGGAGAGCAACAGACUGAAGAUGAUGAAUGGUUUUCUGGAGGUCCCGUGUUCAAUCCACGGUCCUGGCA